Molecule: long non-coding RNA, 2838 nt
Organism: Zea mays
Lineage: Eukaryota; Viridiplantae; Streptophyta; Magnoliopsida; Poales; Poaceae
Exons: 4
Source: RefSeq, a predicted model, not a curated record
AUUGUGGUUCUGCCCGUCCUCCCCCUCGCGCAAUCUCAGGAACGUCGUGCUCAAGCCGCACCGCCAUCAUCGCCCCUAGCACACCUUCCUUCGGCAACCUUCCAUAGACGCAAUCACAGGAUCCACGCCCCGCGUCCGUGCUCCCCCUCGCGCAGGUCCAAGCGCGUGCCUUCCUCCGCCGACGAGGCCGAGGUUGCUGAGCUCCUCGCCGACACCUCCACGCCCCCGCCUCUCGCCCUCUCCCACGUCUCCUGUGUGCCCCUGCCCCUUCGGCUCCAUCUGGCAACGCCAUCCUCGCUCGCACGCCCUCGCCUCCGUGAGCCCCACCCCGCUCCGGCGCUCCCAUCGUGCCCGAACCCUGAGAUAGCCGCCGCCCCAAGCGUCUGACGUCAUGCCCCUCGCCUGCCUCUCGACCCACAAGAUAGCCGCCCCCACCCCCUCUCCGAGCGUGGAUAAGGAAGCAUCGCCGCACGGAAUCGUUCAAGUGGCGCGCGAUGGAGGACGAGGGGAGCAGCGGCCCGAGCCUGGGCCCGGACAGGGAGGCCUCCUCCUCGCCGCUGCAGAGGCCGGAGAGAGUGAGGAUGUCCAAGGCUAGCGACUUCAUCAUCCCCUAAGCCGCAGACCAGGGCCGCUUCGACGUCGGCCAACCCCUGCGCCUGUCCCCGCGAUGUCCAGUCAUGCCACCACCGCGCGCACACACCUCCCUUUCCAUGUUUGACCUCCCGCGGCAUGAGGUGGUGUGUUGGCUCCACGUGUUGCGCGUGCCGGAGGACGACGACACUUGACUUCUCGCCGUCGCAGUUCACCUCCUCCUAGAAUGUCGUCGCCGACUCCACCACACCCUUCCAAGAUGCGCGGCGCGUCCGGCACCAUGCCACUCACCGUGAAGCAGGUCGUCGACGCCUAGCAGUCUGGCACGGGCGAGAAGGGUGCUCCACUCAGUCUGAUCGUUGGACAUGUUUGAGAGUGCGCCGAAGGCUCUUCCUUGUGUGGAGUGGUCGACACGCAGGGUCAAAAGAAAUGGUUUAUCCUCCUGUCCCAAAUGCAUUGUUCCUCUAGCGUAGUUCUUGGGGAAUUCGUGUGGAUCGAGGAAGGGAUUUUUGUGUUGGGGUUUGGAAGGUGGUGUUGCUGCUCCUACUGUUCUUGGCAUGAGCGUUGGAGAUGGGGACAGACUACUACAAUGCGCUCAAGGUGAGCCGAAACGCCACGGCGCGAUGGAGGAGGACCUCAAGAAGUCGUAACACCGGCUGGACAUGAAGUGGCACCCAACAAGAACCCUGGCAACGUCAAGGAUGAAGUUGAGGCCAAAUUCAAGAUCUCCAAGGCCUAAGGGGUUUUGAGUGAUCCCCAGAAGAGGGCGGCAUACGAUCAGUAUGGCAAGAAAGGGCUGAAGGCCUUUGCAGAUAUCCAGGAGCGUUGUGAGGCUGAAUGGAUGAAGGAAAUACUUGGUGAUUAUGAUGCUAUUCAUGUGAGAGUGGUGAUCUAUUGAAAAAUACUUGGUGUUGAACAGAGCCUUCAUCCUCAUCUAGACAGAGACACCACACCUGAGUAUAACAGAAAAAGAAUUGCACAAUGGAUUCCACCGGGUCAAACUUCAUUCAUUGCAUUAAAUGAAAGAACUCCAUGCUUCUUUUCCACUCUGUCAGACAGGUACUGUCUACUCUGUUUUUCUUAUUUCUCUGUCCAACUAGAAUUUUUGGCGUUGUUUAAAUAGCAUCAAUUUUCUUCUUGCAUCCUAAUGCAUUGCAGAGCACUUCUUGGUAAGGGCACUUAGAAAGAUGUCCUCAUUCUUGUUAUUAUUGAGGAUUAUUUAAAAGAAUUAAGUUUAUAUUUCUGUUUACUUUCCAUUUUGGCAUGGUUAAACAUUUCUUAGCAAUAAGAUGUUUUGUUGUGGCUAGUCAUGUCAGUUCUUCAAUCUGUAUGCUGAUUAAAUGCUAUUCAGGUUUCUACCUCUAUGUGUGCUAAUAUAUCAAGAACCACUGUGUGCUUACUGAAUGUGUUUGCUCAUUCAUUAGGCAACAAUUCAGGUACAAGUUAGCGUACUCGUGCAACUUGAGUAGCAUGUUGGAGCCAAUUAUUAAGGAAAACUAUCAGUUAUUGACAGUAAGAGGCUCGUGAUGCAAGGAGCAAAGACAUUUAUCAAGACAAUGAGAGAAUUUGACAGUGAUUUAACCCUUUGUGAUGAUCCAAAAAGAACACCAAUGAUUAUUAUAGGUAUUAAAUAUUGUCUAAUUAUAAAACAAAUUACAGAUGGAGACUAAAAUACGAGAUAAAUUUAUUAAACCUAAUUAAGUCUAUAUUUAAUACUCCUAAUUGAUAUUUAAAUAUUUGAUAUGACCCGAACUAAACUUUAGUCAGGGAACAAAACACUUAGACUUGGAGAGCUGAAUCUUUCAGCAACUUGACAUCCUGACAUGGACAACUGAUUAAACCUGAAGCUAGCAUGGUAGUGUUUGCUGUUAUUGCAGAAGCCAGCUAAAAUCAACCUGCAAUGGUGGACACCACCUAUGUUUCACUUCAGCGCAUCUGUUCAUACUACCACGCGUACUUAUAAUCUAGAAAAAGCCAAAAGUCUUGACAUGUUUUGUUUGCAACACAAAAGAGAAUUUGGUUACAACACAAAAGAGAAGAUUUAUUUGCAGAUUUAGAAUGUAUAUACAUGUCACAUCCUUUUGUACAACAUGUGUAAGAAUGAAGCAGCACCAUGAGGCUUAUGCGUGGAGAAUAUCAUUAAUUGGUUAUUAUCUUUUAAUUUGUAUAGGUCUGUAAGAACGAACCUGCACAUUGAGGCUUAUACGUGGAGAGUGCCAUAAAUUGGUUGUUAUAUUCUUUUCUCUA